UAGGGAAUUUUUCACAAUGAGCGAAAGCUUGAUGGAGCAAUGCCGCGUGAACGAUGAAGGUCUUUAAGAUUGUAAAGUUCUCUUAUUUGGGAAGAAUGACUUUAGCAGGUAAUGGCUAGAGUUUGACUGUACCAUUUUGAAUAAGUGACGACUAACUAUGUGCCAGCAGUCGCGGUAAUACAUAGGUCGCAAGCGUUAUCCGGAUUUAUUGGGCGUAAAGCAAGCGCAGGCGGAUUGAAAAGUCUGGUGUUAAAGGCAGCUGCUUAACAGUUGUAUGCAUUGGAAACUAUUAAUCUAGAGUGUGGUAGGGAGUUUUGGAAUUUCAUGUGGAGCGGUGAAAUGCGUAGAUAUAUGAAGGAACACCAGUGGCGAAGGCGAAAACUUAGGCCAUUACUGACGCUUAGGCUUGAAAGUGUGGGGAGCAAAUAGGAUUAGAUACCCUAGUAGUCCACACCGUAAACGAUAGAUACUAGCUGUCGGGGCGAUCCCCUCGGUAGUGAAGUUAACACAUUAAGUAUCUCGCCUGGGUAGUACAUUCGCAAGAAUG
Molecule: ribosomal RNA, 547 nt
Filed under: uncultured bacterium
Lineage: Bacteria
Description: bacterial SSU rRNA
Rfam family: Bacterial small subunit ribosomal RNA
Source: RNAcentral